This 472-nucleotide ribosomal RNA is filed under the name uncultured eubacterium WR889. Its description in RNAcentral is "bacterial SSU rRNA". It matches the Rfam family "Bacterial small subunit ribosomal RNA", at positions 9 to 527 of the family's 1533-position model. The record is from RNAcentral.
GAGUUUGAUCAUGGCUCAGAACGAACGCUGGCGGCAUGCCUAACACAUGCAAGUCGAACGAGACCUUCGGGUCUAGUGGCGCACGGGUGCGUAACGCGUGGGAAUCUGCCCCUUGGUACGGAAUAACUCAGGGAAACUUGAGCUAAUACCGUAUGAUGUCUUCGGACCAAAGAUUUAUCGCCUAGGGAUGAGCCCGCGUUGGAUUAGCUAGUUGGUGGGGUAAAGGCCCACCAAGGCGACGAUCCAUAGCUGGUCUGAGAGGAUGAUCAGCCACACUGGGACUGAGACACGGCCCAGACUCCUACGGGAGGCAGCAGUGGGGAAUAUUGGACAAUGGGCGAAAGCCUGAUCCAGCAAUGCCGCGUGAGUGAAGAAGGCCUUAGGGUUGUAAAGCUCUUUUACCCGGGAAGAUAAUGACUGUACCGGGAGAAUAAGCCCCGGCUAACUCCGUGCCAGCAGCCGCGGUAAUACG